GACGAACGCUGGCGGCGUGCUUAACACAUGCAAGUCGAACGGAGUGGCGAACGGGUGAGUAACACGUGGGUGACCUGCCCUGCACUUCGGGAUAAGCAUGGGAAACUGGGUCUAAUACCGGCUAGUGGGGGAUGGGCCGGCGGCCUAUCAGCUUGUUGGUGGGGUAAUGGCCUACCAAGGCGGCGACGGGUCGCCGGCCUGAGAGGGGGGACGGCCACAUUGGGACUGAGAAACGGCCCAGAAUCCUACGGGGGGCAGCAGUGGGGAAUAUUGCACAAUGGGCGGAAGCCUGAUGCAGCGACCCCGCGUGGGGGAUGACGGCCUUCGGGUUGUAAACUCCUUUCACCAUCGACGCGGUAGAUGGAGAAGAAGCACCGGCUAACUACGUGCCAGCCGCCGCGGUAAUUC
This 408-nucleotide ribosomal RNA is filed under the name uncultured bacterium. RNAcentral's name for it is "partial 16S ribosomal RNA". It matches the Rfam family "Bacterial small subunit ribosomal RNA", at positions 28 to 526 of the family's 1533-position model. The record is from RNAcentral.